RNAcentral lists this ribosomal RNA (253 nucleotides) under uncultured bacterium. RNAcentral describes it as "partial 16S ribosomal RNA". It matches the Rfam family "Bacterial small subunit ribosomal RNA", at positions 524 to 776 of the family's 1533-position model. The record is from RNAcentral.
UACGUAGGGUGCAGGCGUUAAUCGGAAUUACUGGGCGUAAAGCGUGCGCAGGCGGUGAUGUAAGACAGAUGUGAAAUCCCCGGGCUCAACCUGGGAACUGCAUUUGUGACUGCAUCGCUGGAGUACGGCAGAGGGGGAUGGAAUUCCGCGUGUAGCAGUGAAAUGCGUAGAUAUGCGGAGGAACACCGAUGGCGAAGGCAAUCCCCUGGGCCUGUACUGACGCUCAUGCACGAAAGCGUGGGGAGCAAACAGG